AGAAUCAACGCUGGCGGCGUGCCUAACACAUGCAAGUCGAACGAGAAAGUGGAGCAAUCCAUGAGUAAAGUGGCGACCGGGUGAGUAACACGUGACUAACCUACCCUCGAGUGGGGAAUAACUUCGGGAAACCGAGGCUAAUACCGCAUAACACCCACGGGUCAAAGGAGCAAUCCGCUUGAGGAGGGGGUCGCGGCCGAUUAGUUAGUUGGCGGGGUAACGGCCCACCAAGACGAUGAUCGGUAU
Molecule: ribosomal RNA, 246 nt
Filed under: uncultured bacterium
Lineage: Bacteria
Description: partial small subunit ribosomal RNA
Rfam family: Bacterial small subunit ribosomal RNA
Source: RNAcentral